This 253-nucleotide ribosomal RNA is filed under the name uncultured bacterium. RNAcentral describes it as "partial 16S ribosomal RNA". It matches the Rfam family "Bacterial small subunit ribosomal RNA", at positions 524 to 776 of the family's 1533-position model. The record is from RNAcentral.
UACGUAGGGUGCAAGCGUUGUCCGGAAUUAUUGGGCGUAAAGAGCUCGUAGGCGGUCUGUCACGUCGGCUGUGAAAACCCGAGGCUCAACCUCGGGCCUGCAGUCGAUACGGGCAAACUAGAGUGUUGCAGGGGAGACUGGAAUUCCUGGUGUAGCGGUGAAAUGCGCAGAUAUCGAGAGGAACACCUGCGGCGAAGGCGGGUUGCUGGGCUGACACUGACGCUGAGGCGCGAAAGCUAGGGGAGCGAACGGG